RNAcentral lists this ribosomal RNA (439 nucleotides) under uncultured bacterium. RNAcentral's name for it is "partial 16S ribosomal RNA". It matches the Rfam family "Bacterial small subunit ribosomal RNA", at positions 339 to 795 of the family's 1533-position model. The record is from RNAcentral.
CUACGGGUUGCUGCAGUGAGGAAUAUUGCACAAUGGGGGGAACCCUGAUGCAGCAACGCCGCGUGGAGGAUGACGCAUUUCGGCGUGUAAACUCCUUUUAUAUGUCAAGAAAAUGACGGUAGCAUAUGAAUAAGCACCGGCUAACUCCGUGCCAGCAGCCGCGGUAAUACGGAGGGUGCAAGCGUUACUCGGAAUCACUGGGCGUAAAGGACGCGUAGGCGGGUUGGAAAGUCAGGUGUGAAAUCCUACAGCUUAACUGUAGAACUGCACUUGAAACUUCUAAUCUAGAGUAUGGGAGGGGGAGAUGGAAUUAGUGGUGUAGGGGUAAAAUCCGUAGAUAUCACUAGGAAUAUCUAAAGCGAAGGCGAUCUCCUGGAACAUUACUGACGCUAAGGCGUGAAAGCGUGGGGAGCAAACAGGAUUAGAUACCCGGGUAGUC